Molecule: ribosomal RNA, 253 nt
Filed under: uncultured bacterium
Lineage: Bacteria
Description: partial 16S ribosomal RNA
Rfam family: Bacterial small subunit ribosomal RNA
Source: RNAcentral
UACGGGGGGGGCAAGCGUUGUUCGGAAUUACUGGGCGUAAAGCGCGCGUAGGCGGCUUUGCAAGUCGAGUGUGAAAUCCCCAGGCUCAACCUGGGAACUGCAUUCGAGACUGCAUAGCUAGAGUAUGGGAGAGGGAAGUGGAAUUUCAGGUGUAGCGGUGAAAUGCGUAGAUAUCAGGAGGAACACCGGUGGCGAAGGCGGUUCUCUGGGCAUUACCUGACGCUGAGGAGCGAAAGUGUGGGGAGCGAACAGG